Molecule: long non-coding RNA, 474 nt
Organism: Salvelinus sp. IW2-2015
Lineage: Eukaryota; Metazoa; Chordata; Actinopteri; Salmoniformes; Salmonidae
Source: RefSeq, a predicted model, not a curated record
AAUUUGAUUACAGUGACGAAUGCAAAAUGAAAUAAGAGAAGUAAAGUGUUAGUGGAACCUAGUAAAUCCAAAUGUAGUUGUGGCGGCAUUACACCAAUAGGUGUAGUCUGCCAUAACUUUAAAGAAGAAGAGAAAGAAGAACUUCCGGUUCUCCUUGCUUGCUUCUUUCUCCACUAAAAAGCCGGAGUGUGGUCUUAGGACAGAGUUUAGCCAACUAGCUAGCUAACGUUACUGUACACGUGAAGACUACCUAAUAUGGGUCGCCGCAAGUCCAAGAGAAAGCCCCCUCCAAAGAAGAAGCUUACUGGAAAUUUGGACACUCAAUUCACCUGUCCAUUCUGCAAUCACGAAAAGUCAUGUGAUGUGAAAAUGGAAAGGACCAGAAAUACUGGGAUAAUAUCAUGUACAGUUUGCCUGGAGGAGUUCCAAACCCCCAUUACCUGUAUCCUUUGAAGUCUAUUGAACUCAAACACA